CCUACGGGAGGCAGCAGUGGGGAAUAUUGGACAAUGGGCGCAAGCCUGAUCCAGCCAUGCCGCGUGAGUGAUGAAGGCCUUAGGGUUGUAAAGCUCUUUUAUCCGGGAAGAUAAUGACUGUACCGGAAGAAUAAGCCCCGGCUAACUUCGUGCCAGCAGCCGCGGUAAUACGAAGGGGGCUAGCGUUGCUCGGAAUAACUGGGCGUAAAGGGCGCGUAGGCGGAUGAUUAAGUCGGAGGUGAAAGCCCAGGGCUCAACCCUGGAAUUGCCUUCGAUACUGAUCGUCUCGAGAGUGGUAGAGGUAAGUGGAACUCCGAGUGUAGAGGUGAAAUUCGUAGAUAUUCGGAAGAACACCAGUGGCGAAGGCGACUUACUGGACCAUUUCUGACGCUGAGGCGCGAAAGCGUGGGGAUCAAACAGGAUUAGAUACCCUGGUAGUCCACGCCGUAAACGAUGAAUGCCAGCGUGGUCGAGCUGUCUGCUCAGUGGCGCGAGCUACGUACUUAACGUACACUUCCGUCCGUCGGGUAGGUACGGUCGCGAAGAAUUAAACUUAACAAACGUAAGUAGUACGACGUCGAGAGACGCGACGACGACGACGACGGAGGAGAG
RNAcentral lists this ribosomal RNA (612 nucleotides) under uncultured bacterium. RNAcentral describes it as "bacterial SSU rRNA". The stretch from base 1 to 521 matches the Rfam family "Bacterial small subunit ribosomal RNA", at positions 338 to 873 of the family's 1533-position model. The record is from RNAcentral.